UUAAAUGCUAUGAAGAGGAAGAGUAAGUUAAACACAGUAUCAAGAGAGAAAGUGUCGUAGGCUGAAAGCACUUUUAUAUAUGAUUAACUGAAAACUACCUUGGAGCUGAAACUGAGUAUUUUGAAUAGAAAGAAAGGAUUUCGGUUGACUACCUUACAGUCUAAGAGUGGGCAUAUUGCCAACUUGGGUGGAACCGCGAAUAUAACUCUCGUCCCAACU
Molecule: non-coding RNA, 219 nt
Filed under: Alkalithermobacter paradoxus
Lineage: Bacteria; Bacillati; Bacillota; Clostridia; Peptostreptococcales; Tepidibacteraceae
Description: Clostridium thermoalcaliphilum T-box sequence
Rfam family: T-box leader
About the family: Uncharged tRNA acts as the effector for transcription antitermination of genes in the T-box leader family.
Source: RNAcentral